GACGAACGCUGGCGGCGUGCUUAACACAUGCAAGUCGAACGAAGUGGCGAAAGGGUGAGUAAUACGUGGGUAACCUGGCCUCCCUUUUUGGAUAUGCGUUGGAAACGGGGUCUAAUACCGAAGAAUGGGGGAUGGGCUCGCGGCCUAUCAGUUAGUUGGUGGGGAAAUGGCCGACCAAGGCGGUGACGGGUAGCCGGCCUGAGAGGGUGACCGGCCACAUGAAGACUGAGAUACGGCUCAGACAACUACGGGAGGCAGCAGUGGGGAAUAUUGUACAAAGAGCGCAAGCCGGACUCGACGAGUCCGCGUGGGGGAUGAAGGCUUUCGGGUUGUACACCUCUAUCGCUAUCGAACGGGUAUGUGGUAAAGAAGCACCGGCUAACUACGUGCCAGCCGCCGCGGUAAUUC
This 408-nucleotide ribosomal RNA is filed under the name uncultured bacterium. RNAcentral describes it as "partial 16S ribosomal RNA". It matches the Rfam family "Bacterial small subunit ribosomal RNA", at positions 28 to 526 of the family's 1533-position model. The record is from RNAcentral.